Molecule: unclassified non-coding RNA, 406 nt
Filed under: Hevea brasiliensis (rubber tree)
Lineage: Eukaryota; Viridiplantae; Streptophyta; Magnoliopsida; Malpighiales; Euphorbiaceae
Source: RNAcentral
AGCUGCUAUCAAGGCUGAUCCUUUGUGUUAUGAGGCAUUGGAAUGUCUGAUAGAGAAUCACAUGCUCACUUGUGAUGAAGAGAGAACCCUGCUCUCAUGUUUGCAGUUUGGUCCUGAAGAUGGGUGGCUUUCUUCAUUCUAUUCUUGUUUGAUAAAGAAGUAUGAUAAAGAAAAUGUGGUGGAAGCUAAAUUUAGAGAGCUGGAACAGAGUGGACCUAAUACAAAGCUUUCGGACAAAUCUGUUUUGUGUACGCUUAAAUCCAACUCUGAUCUUUUAGCCUGCAAAGCUGAGUAUUAUCAUCAAUGCGGUGAAUAUCAGAAAUGCUUUGAACUAACAUCUGAAUUGCUUGAAAAGGAUCCGUUCCACCUCAAGUGUACCCUGGUGCACUUAGCAGCAGCAAUGGAG